This 73-nucleotide transfer RNA is filed under the name Candidatus Kerfeldbacteria bacterium RIFOXYA2_FULL_38_24. RNAcentral describes it as "tRNA-Lys". It matches the Rfam family "tRNA". From Rfam's summary of the family: Transfer RNA (tRNA) molecules are approximately 80 nucleotides in length. RNAcentral also lists the same sequence under 1 other name. Lineage: Bacteria; Candidatus Kerfeldiibacteriota. The record is from RNAcentral.
GGGACGUUAGCUCAGGUGGUAGAGCAACAGCCUUUUAAGCUGAUGGUCGAAGGUUCGAGUCCUUCACGUCCCA